RNAcentral lists this ribosomal RNA (556 nucleotides) under uncultured bacterium. Its description in RNAcentral is "bacterial SSU rRNA". It matches the Rfam family "Bacterial small subunit ribosomal RNA", at positions 832 to 1389 of the family's 1533-position model. The record is from RNAcentral.
UCCGGGGCUUAGUGCCGCAGCUAACGCAUUAAGCACUCCGCCUGGGGAGUACGACCGCUAGGUUGAAACUCAAAGGAAUUGACGGGGGCCCGCACAAGCGGUGGAGCAUGUGGUUUAAUUCGAAGCAACGCGAAGAACCUUACCAGGUCUUGACAUCCCUCUGAUCGCUCUAGGGAUAGAGUUUUCCUUCGGGACAGAGGUGACAGGUGGUGCAUGGUUGUCGUCAGCUCGUGUCGUGAGAUGUUGGGUUAAGUCCCGCAACGAGCACAACCCCUAUUGUUAGUUGCCAUCAUUCAGUUGGGCACUCUAGCGAGACUGCCGGUAAUAAACCGGAGGAAGGUGGGGAUGACGUCAAAUCAUCAUGCCCCUUAUGACCUGGGCUACACACGUGCUACAAUGGCUGGUACAACGAGUCGCAAGCCGGUGACGGCAAGCUAAUCUCUGAAAGCCAGUCUCAGUUCGGAUUGUAGGCUGCAACUCGCCUACAUGAAGUCGGAAUCGCUAGUAAUCGCGGAUCAGCACGCCGCGGUGAAUACGUUCCCGGGCCUUGUNCACA